CCUACGGGAGGCAGCAGUGGGGAAUCUUGCACAAUGGGGGAAACUCUGAUGCAGCGACGCCGCGUGAGUGAAGAAGUAUUUCGGUAUGUAAAGCUCUGUCAGCAGGGAAGAAAAUGACGGUACCUGACCAAGAAGCCCCUGCUAACUACGUGCCAGCAGCCGCGGGCAUACGUAGGGGGCAAGCGGUAUCCGGAUGUACUGGGUGUAAAGGGAGCGUAGACGGCAGGGCAAGUCUGGAGUGAAAGCCGGGGGCUCAACCCCCGGACGGCACUGGAAACUGCCAGGCUGGAGUGCAGGAGAGGUAGGCGGAAUUCCAAGUGUAGCGGUGAAAUGCGUAGAUAUUAGGAGGAACACCAGUGGCGAAGGCGGCCUACUGGUCGGUGACUGACGCUGAGGCUCGAAAGCGUGGGGAGCAAACAGGAUUAGAUACCCCGGUAGUC
RNAcentral lists this ribosomal RNA (440 nucleotides) under uncultured bacterium. Its description in RNAcentral is "partial 16S ribosomal RNA". It matches the Rfam family "Bacterial small subunit ribosomal RNA", at positions 338 to 795 of the family's 1533-position model. The record is from RNAcentral.